UCAGGACGAACGCUGGCGGCGUGCUUAACACAUGCAAGUCGAACGGAAAGGCCCUUUCGGGGGUACUCGAGUGGCGAACGGGUGAGUAACACGUGGGUGAUCUGCCCUGCACUCUGGGAUAAGCCUGGGAAACUGGGUCUAAUACCGGAUAUGACUACGGCCUGCAUGGGUUGUGGUGGAAAGCUUUUGCGGUGUGGGAUGGGCCCGCGGCCUAUCAGCUUGUUGGUGGGGUUAUGGCCUACCAAGGCGACGACGGGUAGCCGGCCUGAGAGGGUGACCGGCCACACUGGGACUGAGAUACGGCCCAGACUCCUACGGGAGGCAGCAGUGGGGAAUAUUGCACAAUGGGCGCAAGCCUGAUGCAGCGACGCCGCGUGAGGGAUGACGGCCUUCGGGUUGUAAACCUCUUUCAGCAGGGACGAAGCGCAAGUGACGGUACCUGCAGAAGAAGGACCGGCCAACUACGUGCCAGCAGCCGCGGUAAUACGUAGGGUCCGAGCGUUGUCCGGAAUUACUGGGCGUAAAGAGCUCGUAGGUGGUUUGUCGCGUUGUUCGUGAAAACUCACAGCUCAACUGUGGGCGUGCGGGCGAUACGGGCAGACUGGAGUACUGCAGGGGAGACUGGAAUUCCUGGUGUAGCGGUGGAAUGCGCAGAUAUCAGGAGGAACCCCGGUGGCGAAGGCGGGUCUCUGGG
RNAcentral lists this ribosomal RNA (694 nucleotides) under Mycobacterium sp. L1874. RNAcentral's name for it is "bacterial SSU rRNA". It matches the Rfam family "Bacterial small subunit ribosomal RNA", at positions 24 to 733 of the family's 1533-position model. Lineage: Bacteria; Bacillati; Actinomycetota; Actinomycetes; Mycobacteriales; Mycobacteriaceae. The record is from RNAcentral.